Molecule: long non-coding RNA, 185 nt
Organism: Callorhinchus milii (elephant shark)
Lineage: Eukaryota; Metazoa; Chordata; Chondrichthyes; Chimaeriformes; Callorhinchidae
Exons: 3
Source: RefSeq, a predicted model, not a curated record
GAAAAGGAUUUCAUGGAUGCAAUAAAAAAAAUGGCAGAAAGGAAACAGUUCGGCAAAAUGGUGAUAUACCUUAGUGCAUGUCAUUCCGGAUCAAUGUUCCAGAGCCUCCCAAACAAUAUCAAAGUUUAUGCAGUUACUUCAGCGGCUCCCGAUGCAGUGUCCUGUAAAUCCAACGAGGACAAAAA